Molecule: ribosomal RNA, 274 nt
Filed under: uncultured bacterium
Lineage: Bacteria
Description: partial 16S ribosomal RNA
Rfam family: Bacterial small subunit ribosomal RNA
Source: RNAcentral
AUACGAAGGGGGCUAGCGUUGUUCGGAAUUACUGGGCGUAAAGCGCGCGUAGGCGGAUUGGUCAGUUAGGGGUGAAAUCCCAGGGCUUAACCCUGGAACUGCCUCUAAUACUGCCAGUCUUGAGUUCGGGAGAGGUGAGUGGAAUUCCUAGUGUAGAGGUGAAUUUCGUAGAUAUUAGGAAGAACACCAGUGGCGAAGGCGGCUCACUGGCCCGAUACUGACGCUGAGGCGCGAAAGCGUGGGGAGCAAACAGGAUUAGAUACCCUAGUAGUCC